GUCGUUUGCUCGAAUGGAUUCACUUCACAUUGAGGCCUUGGGGAUGUAUAGUACCUAAUUUCCUAAUCCAGAUCUUUUCUGCUCUUUUUCUCUGGAGCACAGACCACAACGGGUUGGCCUGCAGGACCGUGACGCUGAAUGAGUCCCAUCCGUGCUCCAGAAAGUGUUGGACCAGGUGAUUAGGUACACCGCAUUUUUAGUGUGUACGGUGCCCGAUCGGUUUUGGAAGUUGGACCUAACCCCCCUGGUCAGUUUCACCGCGGCGGACGAGUACGUCAGGACAAAGGGCACGACGGUGCCCUCCGUCUGCGUCCCUUUGGUCAGGUGUUGGAGAAAAAAAAGGUAGUGUAUGGUAUGUAUAAAUGUGCUAUUUUGAGUACUGAGGUAUUUUAGAGUAUUUUUGGAUUUAAGUUUUAGGUAUUAUUAGUAGUGUUCGGUUCGUAUCAGUGUAGUUUCUUUUAAGAAAGGAAGAUAGGGUGUAUUUUCAAUAAAAUAAUGAAUGUAAGUAAAGGGAAUCCUUUCCUUAAACUUUAAUUCAGGUACAGUUAACAAAAUAGAAGGAUAAAUCAGCUGUUGUUUUAAAGCAAUAGUAGCAGGUAGUAUUUGAUUUGAAUCGAGGUACUCUUUUUUUAGAAAGAACGAAUAGGGUGUAUUUUGAAUCAAAAAGUGAAUAUAAUAGUAAAUGUAAGUAGAUGGAAUACUUUCCUUCAGGUUUAGUCUAGAUAAAGUUCAGAAAAAAAAGGAUGAACAAG
This is a long non-coding RNA of Ictalurus punctatus (channel catfish), 752 nucleotides long. The record is from Ensembl. NCBI's taxonomy places the organism in Eukaryota, Metazoa, Chordata, Actinopteri, Siluriformes, Ictaluridae.